CAGGCCUAACACAUGCAAGUCGAACGAGGUAGCAAUACCUAGUGGCGGACGGGUGAGGAAUACGUAGGGAUCUGCCCUUAAGUGGGGGAUAACCCGGGGAAACCCGGAUUAAUACCGCAUGAUCUCGCAAGAGCAAAGAGGGGGACCGCAAGGCCUCUCGCUUUUGGAGGAACCUACGUCGGAUUAGCUAGUUGGUGAGGUAAUGGCUCACCAAGGCUACGAUCCGUAACUGGUCUGAGAGGAUGAUCAGUCACACCGGAACUGAGACACGGUCCGGACUCCUACGGGAGGCAGCAGUGGGGAAUAUUGGACAAUGGGCGAAAGCCUGAUCCAGCAAUACCGCGUGUGUGAAGAAGGCCUUCGGGUUGUAAAGCACUUUAAGUUGGGAAGAAAAAACUUUACUUAAUACGUGAAGUCUUGACGGUACCGACAGAAUAAGCACCGGCUAACUCUGUGCCAGCAGCCGCGGUAAUACAGAGGGUGCUAGCGUUAAUCGGAUUUACUGGGCGUAAAGCGUGCGUAGGCGGUUUGAUAAGUCGAUUGUGAAAGCCCUGGGCUCAACCUAGGAAUUGCGGUCGAUACUGUCAGACUAGAAAACGGUAGAGGGAGGUGGAACUCCAGGUGUAGCGGUGAAAUGCGUAGAUAUCUGGAAGAACACCGAUGGCGAAGGCAGCCUCCUGGGCCUGUUUUGACGCUGAGGCACGAAAGCGUGGGUAGCAAACAGGAUUAGAUACCCUGGUAGUCCACGCCGUAAACGAUGAGAACUUGACGUUGGUUUGCUUAGCAAAUCGGUGUCGUAGCUAACGCGAUAAGUUCUCCGCCUGGGGAGUACGGCCGCAAGGUUGAAACUCAAAUGAAUUGACGG
Molecule: ribosomal RNA, 865 nt
Filed under: uncultured bacterium
Lineage: Bacteria
Description: bacterial SSU rRNA
Rfam family: Bacterial small subunit ribosomal RNA
Source: RNAcentral